RNAcentral lists this unclassified non-coding RNA (331 nucleotides) under soil metagenome. RNAcentral's name for it is "partial contains 5.8S ribosomal RNA, internal transcribed spacer 2, and large subunit ribosomal RNA". The stretch from base 1 to 120 matches the Rfam family "5.8S ribosomal RNA", at positions 35 to 154 of the family's 154-position model. The record is from RNAcentral.
GAUGAAGAACGUAGCGAAAUGCGAUAAGUAAUGUGAAUUGCAGAAUUCAGUGAAUCAUCGAAUCUUUGAACGCACAUUGCGCCCGCCAGUAUUCUGGCGGGCAUGCCUGUCCGAGCGUCAUUUCAACCAUCAAGCCUCGUGCUUGUGUUGGGGACCUGCGUCCGACGCAGGCCCUGAAAACCAGUGGCGGGCUCGCUGUCCACACCGAGCGUAGUAACUAACCUCGCUAUGGAGUGGCGCGGGCGCCUGCCGUAAAACCCCCAAUUUCACAAGGUUGACCUCGGAUCAGGUAGGAAUACCCGCUGAACUUAAGCAUAUCAAUAAGCGGAGA